GGUCUGGAAAGCUGAGAAAGUCCUUGCUGAUUAUUGGGAUGUACUUGUGUUUGGUUAAAUAGAGGCCUGGAGGAUGUUUGUCAUUGAAUAACACAGCAGAAAGGAAUGCAGGAAAAACACUCUUUUACAAGUUCAGGACGUGGUCUGCAGCUUGUUACAUUCCUGCUCUCACAGGAGCUCCGCACUGAGAAAAUGGUUUAAGGGAACCGUCCCAUUGGGCUCCUGCAGGAAGGCCUGGAACAAUGGCCAACACAGGAAGGAUAUCACAGGUGGAUAUAGCACAUCUGUGCCAAGGUGCAAUGGCAGAAGAGAAGUCACCAUGGCUCCAGCGGACACCAGAUGUUUUAUGACUUUUCAGUAUGUUUUGAAAAGCAUCCCAUGGAUGAUCACAGAGCUGAGGAAUAAGACUAAUGGCAGACUGUGUUAAUACUUGGAGCUGUACAUAUUAAAGGUGAUGUUUUGUAGCCUCUUCACCUUGAAGGUGGGAACUGAAAGAGGCUGAAGUGAAAAGUGGGGUGGAGAUUAGCUCUACUCUUGGGAGACCAGGAUUGAAGGUUUAGGGCAAGGCUGAAGAAAAAGCUGAUGCAAGUGGUUAGGGAGUUGGGAUUUUGAGAGAAUAAGAUGUUCCUCAGGAGCACUGAGCUGAUGGGCUCUCCAGGCACAGCAACUGCAGGGCAGCAGUGGUGGGAACAAGGCAAAUCUGUGCCCUGUGAUGGGAGUGUUGCAGCAGCUGAACCUUGGGGGUCAAGUUUUCAUCCUCUAAGCUCACCCCAGGAACCUUUCCCAACCCAACAGAGCUGCUGAAAGCCUCCAUGGAUUCCUGCCUGAGCAUCAGUCAAUGCAGAAAACAGCUUGGGCUUUUGAAGCAUUCAUCACAGAAGCAAGAUUGUGUACCAGAACAGAUAAGUCACAGGCAAGAGGGAAACUAAAAGAACUUUUCAGGCAUGUAAGGCUGAUAGGAAAUCAGCCUUACGACUGGGCAAGGACACUUUCAUCACUCAUACACUGUCGUAGUUCUGCUAGUGGUAAAAGUCAUUUUAUGGGCAGUGUGGUACUAGUGAUUUACAGGGUUUCAUUCUCCACAGCUGACAUUUAGUUAUCCUAUUUCACAAGUAUCAAAAAUACUUUAAUGUCAGAAAAGUAAAUAAAACCUUACCACGAAGUGUAAGCAUGAACAAUGCUAAAUAUCACUGGCUUUUGCCACUAGUAGUAUGUAUCACAUUUAGGAGACUAGUUCUAGAUGUAAUUGGUAUGGGAGCCUGGAGCAGAUGGCCUAACAUACUGGCAUUUGCCAGUAGGUUAUGAGCUUGAUGCAAUCAUGAAUAUGUAGUAAGGUAGCAGGCAUGUCACCUUUCUGAGGGCUGAAAAGAUCUUGGCUAAAUCCCAGCAAGACAUGAGGGAAAACCCAGGAGCAGAUUUCAACAUGAUAAAAAUUGAGACCCUUCCUUCUGUUACUUAAAACAUUUUCUCUGAUAUAGGACAACAAUGACUUGGAAAUAAUAUAUGCAUCCUUACUAAGGGUUCUGAAUUAUUCCUGUGUUAUUUCUGUCUGAUUUAAAUCGGUUGAAUAGCUGUGAGAUCAUUCUGCUGUUAUUUUGGUGUUUGCAAGCUUUCAGAUUCACUGCAUAUGCCCUUGUGUUUGUAUUUAUAUUUGUGAUUCUCCCAAAGUUUUGCAGGACAUAGCACAUCUCCAAGGAUUGUUAUUUGUUAUUUAAAACCCACUGAACUGAAAUCCAAAUUCCAUCCAUUCACUGCUGGCCGUUAUUUAUUUUCCAUUCAUAAACUUUCAGCAAGUAGCGCCAGGCAGCAUUCAGGCAUCACAGCAGCCAAGAGGUGAAGUAGGCUUUUCACGAACACGUUGCAGGCUGAUAGUCACCUGCAGACACUGGUUGGUGAAUCAUACUGAGCAGUGAAUACACCCUGAACAUCAGGAUCCUUUCACAUGCUGAAGGAAGUGUUGCAAUUUUACUCAUCUGAUCUGCACGUUGCUCCGUGGAGGCUUUCAUCCCAGCUUGCUUCUUUUUACAAUAAUUCAGGGACGUAUUAUGAAAUCUGAAAUUCUGCUAAAUUCAAGCAAACUUCUUGCUGA
This is a long non-coding RNA of Pezoporus flaviventris, 2089 nucleotides long. RefSeq lists it as uncharacterized. Lineage: Eukaryota; Metazoa; Chordata; Aves; Psittaciformes; Psittacidae. The record is from RefSeq and is a predicted model, not a curated record. The transcript has 2 exons.